This 252-nucleotide long non-coding RNA is filed under the name Brassica napus (rape). Its description in RNAcentral is "long non-coding RNA (BNAP_LNC024828)". Lineage: Eukaryota; Viridiplantae; Streptophyta; Magnoliopsida; Brassicales; Brassicaceae. The record is from RNAcentral.
UUUGUUUCAAAAUGUUAUGUCCAAAUCUAAUAACCAUUCAAUCUAUUAAACAAAAUUAGUUAAGUGAAAGUUAUAUUUUUAAAUACAAGAAAUUUGAGAAAUGAAUAUUUUUUUUUUCAAAAUCGAAAUAUCCGAACCCGAUCCGAAAUAACCGAACCCGAAGUAAAAAUACCCGAAACCAACCCGAAGUACAGAAAUACCCGAACAAGUUCUAUAUCUCUAUACCAAAAAUCCAAAAUACCCGACCCAAAC